UGGGGAAUAUUGGACAAUGGGCGCAAGCCUGAUCCAGCCAUGCCGCGUGGAUGAUGAAGGCCCUAGGGUUGUAAAGUCCUUUUAACGGGGAAGAUAAUGACGGUACCCGUAGAAUAAGCCCCGGCUAACUUCGUGCCAGCAGCCGCGGUAAUACGAAGGGGGCUAGCGUUGCUCGGAAUUACUGGGCGUAAAGCGCACGUAGGCGGGUCGAUAAGUCGGGGGCGAAAUCCUGGAGCUCAACUCCAGAACU
RNAcentral lists this ribosomal RNA (250 nucleotides) under uncultured bacterium. RNAcentral describes it as "partial 16S ribosomal RNA". It matches the Rfam family "Bacterial small subunit ribosomal RNA", at positions 355 to 622 of the family's 1533-position model. The record is from RNAcentral.